Molecule: long non-coding RNA, 1368 nt
Filed under: Triticum aestivum (bread wheat)
Lineage: Eukaryota; Viridiplantae; Streptophyta; Magnoliopsida; Poales; Poaceae
Description: long non-coding RNA (TAES_LNC019683)
Source: RNAcentral
AAACUAGUGAGUAUAUUUGUUUCGCCUCUGCACAUGGUUGUUGCCGGUGGGCAUGGUGGGUGGGCAUGGCUCCUUUCUGCAACUCAAGGUAGGCGCACAAAAUCGUCCUUCCCGUGGAAAUUUUACUCAAUCAAGUAUAUAAUAAUUAGUCAUAUUCCAGAUCCUUGAAAAUGAUCUAUUGUGGAGCAGUCAAAGCAUGUUAAUUGCAAUAUCGACUUGUUUGCUUUAUAUGAUUAUAUAUUGCAAUAUCCGUUCUGUUAAAUCUAUUGUGAGCAGUCAAAGCAUGUUACUGCAAUAUCGACUUGUUCGCUUUAUAUGAUUAUAUAUUGCAAUAUUGUUCUGUUAUAAUAAUUAGUCAUAUUCCAGGUCCUUGAAAAUGAUCUAUUCUGAGCAGUCAAAGCAUGUUAACUGCAAUAUCGACUUGUUCGCUUUAUAUGAUUAUAUAUUGCAAUAUCCGUUCUGUUAAAAUAGGCUUUGGAGACAUGAUUUCUGUUACGGUAUUAACUGGCUGUCAUGUUCUGUUUAGAGUUUUGAUAUUAAAGUAGUUUAUUAUCUCACUCGAUCGAGUGACUAAGAGUAAGAUUGUUUGUUAACUAGGCCUACAAUUACACUGCUUCUCUGUUCUAUAUUAUGUGUAAAAUUUCUAUGUGUUAUGUGGUGAAAGUAGGCAUCAUACAUAUUAUUGUGAUAUUGAUUGAUCAAUACCCGAAUACCGAGCUGUAUUCAUUGAUAAACCAGAUUUAGAGUUUGAUGAUAAAUUUUGCACACUUCCGAGUGGCAAAGAUUGAUCUGCACCUUCCUAUUGCCAAACUUCCAAUGUUGCAUUUGUUUUUCCUCAUGUUGUUUUGAUCUUUCAUUGCGACUUAAGUAAACGGAAGUACAACAGCUUGUGCUUUCAAAAUUAGAUAUCUGUAUUGCUCGAAGAUUUGUCAUCUUAGUCCUCUUUAAAUAGUUUAGCCAUUGUUUGUAUCUACGCCUUGCCCCGAGCAUCCAUAUUUGCCUAGCUAAUAAUUCUUUGCACUUAUAUAAAUUUGUCCUUAGGGUGAUUAACUUCGUUUUUUUUGUGAUUGUAUAUUGCAGGUCACUGGUAUAUAAGGUUUUUGCAAGUGAAUACAGUACACAUAAAUCCGAGGCUCCUGUUUCAGAACAGUUACAAGAAAACGCAAAGUGUUACUAAUGAUGUUUGUAAAUCCUCCGUGAGCCAUCUAUGUAAAUAUGUAAUUGCUGGGUCAUCUAAACAGUAGCGUGAUGCUAAUAAGCUUCAGCUGCUAUGUGAAAAUUAUACAACUAUGUAAAUAUCUUUUGUUGGGUCAUCUAAAGAGUAAUGUAAUUGUAAUAAGCUUUGGCUGCUUUGUGAAAAUUCUUUUU